AGUAUGACUGACUGUAAGUCGCUUUGGAUAAAAGUGUCUGCUAAAUAGCAUAGA
Non-coding RNA from Salmo salar (Atlantic salmon), 54 nucleotides. The record is from Rfam. Lineage: Eukaryota; Metazoa; Chordata; Actinopteri; Salmoniformes; Salmonidae.